UGCGCAGGCGGACUUUUAAGUCAGCGGUGAAAUCCCGAGGCUCAACCUCGGAACUGCCAUUGAUACUGGAAGUCUUGAAUUUGGUUGAAGUGGGCGGAAUGUAGCAUGUAGCGGUGAAAUGCUUAGAUAUGCUACAGAACACCGAUCGCGAAGGCAGCUCACUAAGCCAAUAUUGACGCUCAGGCACGAAAGCGUGGGGAGCAAACAGGAUUAGAUACCCUGGUAGUC
RNAcentral lists this ribosomal RNA (228 nucleotides) under uncultured bacterium. RNAcentral's name for it is "partial 16S ribosomal RNA". It matches the Rfam family "Bacterial small subunit ribosomal RNA", at positions 568 to 795 of the family's 1533-position model. The record is from RNAcentral.